Long non-coding RNA from Populus trichocarpa (black cottonwood), 659 nucleotides. RefSeq lists it as uncharacterized. The record is from RefSeq and is a predicted model, not a curated record. NCBI's taxonomy places the organism in Eukaryota, Viridiplantae, Streptophyta, Magnoliopsida, Malpighiales, Salicaceae. The transcript has 3 exons.
GCAUUUUUAGUAGAUGUGGUGUUGUUAGUGUGGUUAUAUAUAUAUAUUGAAAAUUUUAUGUUAUAUUCAGAAGAGGAGUGAUUAGGAAUGCUACUAUUGAAGAGAUCGAAGCGGAGAAAUCUUGAUUGAGGAAGAUGCUCACAAGUAUGCCCAGUAUUUGGUGGCUGCUAUAGGUCUCCAAGACUCUACCCCUCUUGAUACUCCCACGGAACUUAAUCUCAAGCUGCACAAAGAAGAGGUCCAAUAGGUUAGUCAGUUCAUGGCCUCUCCUCGACACCUUCAUAUGGUUGCAGUACGACGAAUCAAUCAUUCACUAUGUUCAUGGCACAACUUUGUGGGGAUUUUGCUCUCCCACUGGUAGUUCACUUCAUCUUGUAGCAUACAAUGAUGUUAAUUAUGCCGGGUGUAGUGCAAUUCGAUGUUCUACUAUGAUUUGAUGUACGUUUCUUUGUCCGGCUAUUAGUUUUUGGAAAAGCAAGGAACAAACCAUGUUUCCAAGUCCUCUACUGAAUCCAAAUAUAGAGCCAUGUCCCAAGCUUGUGCUAAGAUACAUUGGUUUUGAGGGCUAUUGGCUGAACUUGGCUUCUUUCUGGGUGGUCUUACUUCCCUUUAUGCAGAUAACAUUAGUGCCAAUUUUUAUUUUAGUCGUUUCAUUUUAA